AGAUUGAACGCUGGCGGCAGGCCUAACACAUGCAAGUCGAGCGGUAGAGAGGUGCUUGCACCUCUUGAGAGCGGCGGACGGGUGAGUAAUGCCUAGGAAUCUGCCUAGUGGUGGGGGAUAACGGUUCGGAAACGGACGCUAAUACCGCAUACGUCCUACGGGAGAAAGCGGGGGACCUUCGGGCCUCGCGCCAUUAGAUGAGCCUAGGUCGGAUUAGCUAGUUGGUGAGGUAAUGGCUCACCAAGG
This 246-nucleotide ribosomal RNA is filed under the name uncultured soil bacterium. RNAcentral describes it as "partial 16S ribosomal RNA". It matches the Rfam family "Bacterial small subunit ribosomal RNA", at positions 26 to 273 of the family's 1533-position model. The record is from RNAcentral.